Molecule: ribosomal RNA, 446 nt
Filed under: uncultured bacterium
Lineage: Bacteria
Description: partial 16S ribosomal RNA
Rfam family: Bacterial small subunit ribosomal RNA
Source: RNAcentral
CCUACGGGGGGCAGCAGUCGAGAAUCAUUCACAAUGGGGGAAACCCUGAUGGUGCGACGCCGCGUGGGGGAAUGAAGGUCUUCGGAUUGUAAACCCCUGUCAUGUGGGAGCAAAUUAAAAAGAUCGUACCACACGAGGAAGAGACGGCUAACUCUGUGCCAGCAGCCGCGGUAAUACAGAGGUCUCAAGCGUUGUUCGGAAUCACUGGGCGUAAAGCGUGCGUAGGCUGUUUCGUAAGUCGUGUGUGAAAGGCGCGGGCUCAACCCGCGGACGGCACAUGAUACUGCGAGACUAGAGUAAUGGAGGGGGAACCGGAAUUCUCGGUGUAGCAGUGAAAUGCGUAGAUAUCGAGAGGAACACUCGUGGCGAAGGCGGGUUCCUGGACAUUAACUGACGCUGCGCCACGAAGGCCAGGGGAGCGAAAGGGAUUAGAUACCCUUGUAGUC